RNAcentral lists this ribosomal RNA (996 nucleotides) under uncultured bacterium. RNAcentral's name for it is "bacterial SSU rRNA". It matches the Rfam family "Bacterial small subunit ribosomal RNA", at positions 355 to 1375 of the family's 1533-position model. The record is from RNAcentral.
UGGGGAAUAUUGCACAAUGGGGGAAACCCUGAUGCAGCGACGCCGCGUGGAGGAAGAAGGUCUUCGGAUUGUAAACUCCUGUUGUUGAGGAAGAUAAUGACGGUACUCAACAAGGAAGUGACGGCUAACUACGUGCCAGCAGCCGCGGUAAAACGUAGGUCACAAGCGUUGUCCGGAAUUACUGGGUGUAAAGGGAGCGCAGGCGGGGAGACAAGUUGGAAGUGAAAUCCAUGGGCUCAACCCAUGAACUGCUUUCAAAACUGUUUUUCUUGAGUAGUGCAGAGGUAGGCGGAAUUCCCGGUGUAGCGGUGGAAUGCGUAGAUAUCGGGAGGAACACCAGUGGCGAAGGCGGCCUACUGGGCACCAACUGACGCUGAGGCUCGAAAGUGUGGGUAGCAAACAGGAUUAGAUACCCUGGUAGUCCACACCGUAAACGAUGAUUACUAGGUGUUGGAGGAUUGACCCCUUCAGUGCCGCAGUUAACACAAUAAGUAAUCCACCUGGGGAGUACGACCGCAAGGUUGAAACUCAAAGGAAUUGACGGGGGCCCGCACAAGCAGCGGAGCAUGUGGUUUAAUUCGACGCAACGCGAAGAACCUUACCAGGUCUUGACAUCCAGUUAAAGCUAUUGAAAGGUAGUGUCUCUUCGGAGGAACUGAGACAGGUGGUGCAUGGUUGUCGUCAGCUCGUGUCGUGAGAUGUUGGGUUAAGUCCCGCAACGAGCGCAACCCUUAUGGUCAGUUACUACGCAAGAGGACUCUGGCCAGACUGCCGUUGACAAAACGGAGGAAGGUGGGGAUGACGUCAAAUCAUCAUGCCCUUUAUGACUUGGGCUACACACGUACUACAAUGGCGUUAAACAAAGGGAGGCAAAGCCGCGAGGUGGAGCAAAUCCCAAAAAUAACGUCUCAGUUCGGACUGCAGUCUGCAACUCGACUGCACGAAGCUGGAAUCGCUAGUAAUCGCGAAUCAGAAUGUCGCGGUGAAUACGUUCCC